Molecule: transfer RNA, 22 nt
Filed under: Balaenoptera omurai (Omura's baleen whale)
Lineage: Eukaryota; Metazoa; Chordata; Mammalia; Artiodactyla; Balaenopteridae
Description: partial tRNA-Tyr
Source: RNAcentral
GACAGCCAUACCUCCCUAAGAC